ACGGGAGGCAGCAGUAGGGAAUCUUCGGCAAUGGGGGCAACCCUGACCGAGCAACGCCGCGUGAGUGAAGAAGGUCUUCGGAUCGUAAAGCUCUGUUGAGAGGGACGAGAGAUUACUUCAGGAAAUGGGAGUAAGAGGACGGUACCUUUCGAGGAAGCCACGGCUAACUACGUGCCAGCAGCCGCGGUAAUACGUAGGAGGCGAGCGUUGUCCGGAAUUAUUGGGCGUAAAGGGAGCGCAGGUGGGACUUCAAGUCAGUCUUAAAAGUGCGGGGCUCAACCCCGUGAUGGGAUUGAAACUGUAGUUCUUGAGUGCAGGAGAGGAAAGCGGAAUCCCUAGUGUAGCGGUGAAAUGCGUAGAUAUUAGGAGGAACACCAGUGGCGAAGGCGGCUUUCUGGACUGUAACUGACACUGAGGCUCGAAAGCGUGGGGAGCGAACAGGAUUAGAUACCCUGGUA
RNAcentral lists this ribosomal RNA (458 nucleotides) under uncultured Anaerovibrio sp. RNAcentral's name for it is "bacterial SSU rRNA". It matches the Rfam family "Bacterial small subunit ribosomal RNA", at positions 341 to 792 of the family's 1533-position model. Lineage: Bacteria; Bacillati; Bacillota; Negativicutes; Selenomonadales; Selenomonadaceae. The record is from RNAcentral.